CCUACGGGAGGCAGCAGUGGGGAAUAUUGCACAAUGGGGGAAACCCUGAUGCAGCGACGCCGCGUGAGUGAAGAAGCGCCUCGGCGCGUAAAGCCCUGUCAGCAGGAACGAUAAUGACGGUACCUGUAGAAGAAGCCCCGGCUAACUACGUGCCAGCAGCCGCGGUAAUCCGUAGGGGGGACGCGGUAUCCGGAUUUACUGGGUGUAAAGGGAGCGUAGACGGCGUGGCAAGGCUGGCGUGAAAGGGCGGGGCCCAACCCCGGGACCGCUCUGGAAACUGCCCGGCUGGAGUGCGGGAGAGGUAAGCGGAAUGCCUGGUGUAGCGGUGAAAUGCGUAGAUAUUAGGAGGAACACCAGCGGCGAAGGCGGCAUACUGGAGCGUGACUGACGUUGAGGCUCGAAAGCGUGGGGAGCGAACAGGAUUAGAUACCCCAGUAGUC
RNAcentral lists this ribosomal RNA (440 nucleotides) under uncultured bacterium. Its description in RNAcentral is "partial 16S ribosomal RNA". It matches the Rfam family "Bacterial small subunit ribosomal RNA", at positions 338 to 795 of the family's 1533-position model. The record is from RNAcentral.